This 460-nucleotide ribosomal RNA is filed under the name uncultured bacterium. RNAcentral's name for it is "partial 16S ribosomal RNA". It matches the Rfam family "Bacterial small subunit ribosomal RNA", at positions 338 to 795 of the family's 1533-position model. The record is from RNAcentral.
CCUACGGGAGGCAGCAGUGAGGAAUAUUGGUCAAUGGCCGGGAGGCUGAACCAGCCAAGUCGCGUGAGGGAAGACGGCCCUACGGGUUGUAAACCCUUUUUGCCAGGGAGCAAGGUGCAGGUCGGGACCAGCUGUGAGAGUACCUGAAGAAAAAGCAUCGGCUAACUCCGUGCCAGCAGCCGCGGUAAUACGGAGGAUGCGAGCGUUAUCCGGAUUUAUUGGGUUUAAAGGGUGCGUAGAUGGGUUGUUAAGUCAGGUGUGAAAGUGUGCGGCUCAACCGUAAAAGUGCAAUUGAAACUGGCAGUCUUGAGUACAGGUGAGGUAAGCGGAAUUCGUAGUGUAGCGGUGAAAUGCUUAGAUAUCACGAAGAACCCCGAUUGCGAAGGCAGCUUACUAGACGGUGACUGACAUUGAGGCUCGAAAGUGUGGGUAUCAAACAGGAUUAGAUACCCGGGUAGUC